GCGGGCGGAGAAGGUCUACCAGGAACAGCUGACCACGGCUAAUAACAAGAGAAAAGAGCUGCUCCUUAACCGCAGCACCAAACAGAAGAACGAGAGAGAGAUGCUCAGCAGGAACAGGAAGGAACUGAUAAACGACCACAUCAACCGCUUUGAGAAGCUGCGUGACCUGCGGGCCUCGUUGGAGGACACCUGGAGACGCAGCGCCGACCUGAAACGCCACCGAGACAGAGAGGAGAAGGAAUUCAUCAAGUCUGGGAGCAGUCUUCUGAUUGACCAGUGUGAGCAGUAC
Long non-coding RNA from Oncorhynchus masou masou (cherry salmon), 289 nucleotides. RefSeq lists it as uncharacterized. The record is from RefSeq and is a predicted model, not a curated record. The transcript has 3 exons. Lineage: Eukaryota; Metazoa; Chordata; Actinopteri; Salmoniformes; Salmonidae.